RNAcentral lists this ribosomal RNA (484 nucleotides) under uncultured bacterium. RNAcentral's name for it is "partial 16S ribosomal RNA". It matches the Rfam family "Bacterial small subunit ribosomal RNA", at positions 28 to 523 of the family's 1533-position model. The record is from RNAcentral.
GAUGAACGCUGGCGGCGUGCUUAACACAUGCAAGUCGAACGGUGAAGCAGGAGCUUGCUCUUGUGGAUCAGUGGCGAACGGGUGAGUAACACGUGAGCAACCUGCCCCUGACUCUGGGAUAAGCGCUGGAAACGGCGUCUAAUACUGGAUAUGUGAUGUGACCGCAUGGUCUGCAUAUGGAAUGAAUUUCGGUUGGGGAUGGGCUCGCGGCCUAUCAGCUUGUUGGUGAGGUAAUGGCUCACCCAGGCAUCGACGGGUAGCCGGCCUGAGAUGGUGACCGGCCACACUGGGACGGAGACACGGCACAGACUCCUACGGGAGGCAGCAGUGGGGAAUAUUGCACAAUGGGCGGAAGCCUGAUCCAGCAAAGCCGCGUGAAGGAUAGCGGGCUUCGGGUUGUAAACCUCUUUUAGCAGGGAAGAAGCGAAAGUGACGGUACCUGCAGAAAAAGCACCGGCUAACUACGUGCCAGCAGCCGCGGUAA